RNAcentral lists this microRNA precursor (84 nucleotides) under Marmota monax (woodchuck). Lineage: Eukaryota; Metazoa; Chordata; Mammalia; Rodentia; Sciuridae. The record is from RNAcentral.
CCAUGGCAGGGUGUUGUCCUGGAGGAGUAAGCCCUGGGCUGUCACAGAGCCUGGCUUACUCCUCCAGGACAACACCCUGGCUGU